Molecule: long non-coding RNA, 703 nt
Organism: Hylaeus volcanicus
Lineage: Eukaryota; Metazoa; Arthropoda; Insecta; Hymenoptera; Colletidae
Exons: 3
Source: RefSeq, a predicted model, not a curated record
UUACUUUUAGGUUUUUUUAAAUGCACUUGAACUUUUUUUUUACUAAGAGGAGCAUGCGUACACGGGUUUUCAUCCUCAAGUAAAGACACUAAACAGACAGAAAAGCAUUGUUUAAGUAAAUGUUAAUGUACCCAUCAAUAAUCAUAAUCUCACCGGAUCCACUAUGACAACAUCUAAUAAAACGGACGAAUGUUGAAAAAAAAAUUACAAGCCAAAACCUGAAAAGACGGAUCGUCACGUAAUGCAUAAGACGGUUGUGGAUCCUAUUAUUUUAUAUUGAAAAAAAAACGUAGGUAACGUGGUAUUUAGAAAAAAAACGCACAGUUUACCUCAAGAAAUGUGUACCAUAAAUCUAACUGAUCCCUUUUAAUACACGCGCUAAACAUUCCGUCGACUAGCAACGCUACAUGUGUAUCCCUAAUGUGAUUAACAACCCCCACUAAAAAAAGAUAUACAAGAAACAUAGACAGAAAGGUUUGAUGGUUUUUCAUAAAGUUUUCACAUCAAUGAAAACCUCAUUGUCAAGUGCACAACAUGCCUAUAAAAGAAUUUGGAGACGGACGAAAAAUUAAACAUUUGAGUUCAACUCGAAAAGAAAUUAUACCAAACUUGUCCGAAUGAUAGGAAAAUCCCAAAGGGUCCGUUUUUACAGAUUUAGGAACAUAAGCUAUCCAAACUCCAUUGAAUUCGUCUAAAAAUCUUA